This is a long non-coding RNA of Planococcus citri (citrus mealybug), 2849 nucleotides long. RefSeq lists it as uncharacterized. The transcript is spliced from 3 exons. NCBI's taxonomy places the organism in Eukaryota, Metazoa, Arthropoda, Insecta, Hemiptera, Pseudococcidae. The record is from RefSeq and is a predicted model, not a curated record.
UCUUGUUUUUGUUUGUUUUUUGUUUUGUUUUUUUUUUUAUUAAGAAAACGGUAGAAAAUUUUAAUUUUUUUCAUGAUUAAUUGAAAACUUUUUUCUUUGAUCUUCUUAUCAUAUUUUGCAGAAAGUGAUUUACUAUAGGUACUCGAACCUACCUAAACAAAUAUUUUUUUAAUUUGAACAUCUGUGUCAAAAUUGAAAUAAUUUACAUUUUUUUGCAUUUUUUUUUCAAGAUAGACAGUGAAAAGGAGGGUUCUAAAAGCAUUGCUAAAGACCGAGCAAAAAAUUCUAAAAAAUUCUUAAUUCAUUCAAGAAAUUUCACUGAACACGCUGAAAUAGUUUUAGGACACCCGUCAGCCUUCAUAUAAGUUUUUGUCGCUCUGUUGCUCUUGAUUAUUGAUUUGUCUGAAAUAUUAAUUCUGGUAAACGUUUUACGGGACACUUGAGUUCUAAAAAAAAUAGAUGAAAAAAUAAAAAACAAACAUUUAAUUAUCAAAACGUUAAUAAAUCAAUGCGCAGUUUACGAUUGGUUCAAUUUUAACGAGCGAAAAAUCUAAAAAAAAAAUCGAUCAUCAAAUUAUCAUUUCAUCUACAAACUAUAAAUCUUUCUAUAAACAUCUCUCCGGUAGGCUUUUUAUCUAGUUUUGCGUUGAUUUAUCUACUGCAGCGAAUGAAAGUUCAUAUUAAAAAUCAUAUCUUAAUCGAUUCUCCAUAAAAUGGCAAGAAAAAAAAACUGGUCAGACUAAUGAGUCGAAUUUACUCGCAGCAUUCAAUAAACACAUCAGAUGAAAGAAAAAAAAAUCGAUUUCUAAUGAGUCUUUAGAAACGAUUUUCAGUAUAAUUAUGAUACAAAGAUAUGGACUAAAAUGAACAUUGAGGUGUCAUUUUAUGAUUAAAUUUAAAUAUUUGUAUUGGUUUCAUCGUGCAGAAAAGAUAGUCAAGAUUGGAUCUAGAUGCUGCGUACCUAUUUUAAAUUGACAAAUUCAUAAAAAUAAAAUUGUCUUUUUAAUAGUUUGGUAGUUUUUAACUGAAAACACUUUCCAUAGUAAAUUAUUUCUUUUGACAAAUUACGAAUCUAAUCUGCCUAUACCUACCUACAUACGUAUGAUUUAAAUUUCAACAUUCCAGCUGAAUAGGAGCAUUAUAUUUUUGUAAUGCAAAUAGUAUAGGCUUAUGGGUAACGUAAUAUUUUCGUUGGUUUUAAUUUUAAUAUUUUUUAAGAAAAUAGGCAAGUUUCUGAAGAUCGUGAGAAUAUUUUUUUAAAUCUUAAUACUACCAGGAAUUCUACGUUAUACCUACAAGAUUCAUGUAAAUCAAGUUUAAUGAUUUUUCUCAUGGUAUGAAAAUUAUUCAAGAUUUAUUUAUCAUGAAUAAUUUCAAUAAGAGUUCACAUUGUUUUAUUUUUCAAUGUUAUGUUUUACAUGCUCUGUGCUCCAUUCAGGGUUCACAUGGAAUAAAAAUAAAUACUCGAGAGAGUUAUUAAAACGAAGAUACGAGUAUUUACACUGAUGUGGAUUCAUCUUUACCUUUAUCAAGUCUAAGAAAAACUUCAAAUAUCAGGCAACUUCUCCUUAUUACGUUGUUCGGAAUGGCUUUUGAAAACACGCUCAUUAUCUCCGAUCAGGUUACUAACGACCAUUAACUCAAUCACGACAAGCUACUAAAUACGUGAUGAACAUAAAUCAUUAUACCUCUCAAUCUAUGCUGAGUCUAGAGAUUGUUCAAGCAAGGUAGCUUAUCUACUCGUACAACCGUUUAGUAAUAUUCCUUCUCAAUGGAAUAGGUCCCUGUAUAGAUCAGUAAGUAUUUUUGUAAUGGUAAAAAUUAACCUCACGUGUACAUGGUCAUAGGCCAUGAGGCCGUGACAUUUAAUAAACAAUUUUUUUUCUUAAUUUUUUACAAAUAACUUCUAGUAUCUACCGACAUCAAUUACAUAGAUAAUAAUUCCAGUUUAAUUAAAAAGUAAAUUCGACAUUACUAUGGGUACAAUUGCAUCGAACGAACUUAUUUUUUUUUUCAACAGGUUCUUUCAUCCAAGGAGUACACUACCUUAAAGUAUAGGUAGGUACCUAAGAUCCAUUAAUUAAAUCAUAUCUACGAUCUAAUAAACCAUUUUCCGAAACUAGUUCCAUUAAUUUGAAACUUAUUAAAGGCAUUUUAGUAUUCAUUUAGCUCGAACCAUCUCGCGCUAUAGUUUUAAUUACUACUUAGGCUGUUUUAGUUGAUGAUUAAACAUUAAGAAUGGCACAAGAGAAAUACCACAGAGAGGUAACUUUUAUCGGUGCAUUAAAUCGUAAUCGAUGUAUUUACUGUAACGUUUCCUUAUCUGUUUUAGAUACUGUUACAGAGUAAAAAUUUCAAUUAAUACGACUCCCAUGAAGAUUCAUCAACCAUUUCGCCUGCAGUAUUUUGUUGCGUGAACGUAGACUAACGACAGAAUACACAUUAUAGUAAAAUAAAUCUCAAUUAAACCUGGUGUCGAACAAUUUUUCCAUCUUUACUGCAGGCUGAAUUUAAAAUCAACCUAGGAAAACGCCCAUUUGAUGAGAGCAUAAGCACCCUGACGGACUGGAAUAUUUUAUGCAUUUAAAUUUUUUUCACUUCUUUUGUUUUAAAGGUGAGAAAACGGGAUCCAAAUCCGAUUCAGAUUCGGUGGAAAAAUUAUUCCAGAUUGGGAAUCAAUCAGGUAGAACGAUGUGAUAGAAAUUAUUAGAGAAACAUAUGCUAUUCCUUGGCAUGACUGAAAUGAUGGAAUACCUAUGAAAUCGACGACUAUUUUUGUUGAUUAAGAAAUAAAGUUGAAUAGAACAUACCUACAGAAUGCAUAAUAUAUUUUAUCUCUUUUUCAAUAA